This 159-nucleotide ribosomal RNA is filed under the name uncultured fungus. RNAcentral's name for it is "5.8S ribosomal RNA". It matches the Rfam family "5.8S ribosomal RNA". From Rfam's summary of the family: 5.8S ribosomal RNA (5.8S rRNA) is a component of the large subunit of the eukaryotic ribosome. It is transcribed by RNA polymerase I as part of the 45S precursor that also contains 18S and 28S rRNA. Functionally, it is thought that 5.8S rRNA may be involved in ribosome translocation. The record is from RNAcentral. Lineage: Eukaryota; Fungi.
AAACUUUCAGCAACGGAUCUCGUUGGUUCUGGCAUCGAUGAAGAACGCAGCGAAAUGCGAUAAGUAAUGUGAAUUGCAGAAUUUAGUGAAUCAUCGAAUCUUUGAACGCACAUUGCGCCUAUUAGUAUUCUAGUAGGCAUGCCUGUUCGAGCGUCAUUU